AUUUGAACAACUUUUGGUGGCCAUUACGUGCGUCUCGGUUUUUUUUAACAAGAAAUAUUUACGGGCGAUAUCAAACGAACCGCAGUGACAAUGGCAAAAUCUAAGAGCAAAUCUGUGGACGCAGACCUGAUCGGUGUCAAAAAUUCCGAACUCUUAAUAAAGCUCACAAAGUCGUCAUCAAAGUCCAUUGCAUGGUCAUAUUUCGGAUAUUUAUGUUUCCGGGCUGAUGAACGGGUCGUCGAAAGUCAACGGGACAAGUGGUUUUGUAAUGUGUGUUUCUCCGAAGCUGAUGAAACCAGGUUGCUUGUCGAAAGCGGUGUAAAAGUAUUUUCAUCUUCGAUCAGCACAACCACGUUGAUCAAUCAUGUACAGAAAGACCACAAAAUUUCUCUUCAUUCGAAAACCGCUGAACAAACUAAACGAAGUAUUCAGAGCUAUUUUGCUACAGAUAGGACUGCUACAACGUCAUCGAGCAAGAAAGAGGCUAAAUUUGUUUUGACGCGAGACUUGGUUCUAUUUUGUUGCAGAGAUCUUCUACCAUUUAGUUUAGUAGAUGGCCAGGGACUGCGUGACUUU
Long non-coding RNA from Bradysia coprophila, 576 nucleotides. The record is from RefSeq and is a predicted model, not a curated record. NCBI's taxonomy places the organism in Eukaryota, Metazoa, Arthropoda, Insecta, Diptera, Sciaridae.